Molecule: ribosomal RNA, 711 nt
Filed under: uncultured bacterium
Lineage: Bacteria
Description: bacterial SSU rRNA
Rfam family: Bacterial small subunit ribosomal RNA
Source: RNAcentral
AGUCGAACGGACUUAAUCGAUUCUUUUAGAUUCGAAGCGGUUAGUGGCGGACUGGUGAGUAACACGUAAGCAACCUGCCUGUUAGAGGGGAAUAACAGUGAGAAAUCACUGCUAAAACCGCAUAUGCCGUGAACAUCGCAUGAUGAAAACGGGAAAAGAGCAAUCUGCUAAUAGAUGGGCUUGCGUCUGAUUAGCUAGUUGGUGUGGUAAAGGCAUACCAAGGCAACGAUCAGUAGCCGGACUGAGAGGUUGAACGGCCACAUUGGGACUGAGAUACGGCCCAGACUCCUACGGGAGGCAGCAGUCGGGAAUAUUGCGCAAUGGAGGAAACUCUGACGCAGUGACGCCGCGUAUGGGAAGAAGGUUUUCGGAUUGUAAACCAUUUUAGACAAGGAAGAAACAAGACAGUACUUGUAGAAUAAGCUCCGGCUAACUACGUGCCAGCAGCCGCGGUAAUACGUAGGGAGCAAGCGUUAUCCGGAUUUAUUGGGUGUAAAGGGUGCGUAGACGGGAAGGUAAGUUAGUUGUGAAAUCCCUCGGCUCAACUGAGGAACUGCGACUAAAACUGCUUUUCUUGAGUGCUGGAGAGGAAAGUGGAAUUCCUAGUGUAGCGGUGAAAUGCGUAGAUAUUAGGAGGAACACCAGUGGCGAAGGCGACUUUCUGGACAGUAACUGACGUUGAGGCACGAAAGUGUGGGGAGCAAACAGGAU